AUGGAUGUGAACAAUGCUUUCCUUCAUGGCGAUCUACAGGAGGAAGUUUAUAUGCAGCCACCUCCAGGUGUUGAAGCCCCAUCUGAUCAUGUUUGUCGUCUUCGAAAGGCUCUUUAUGGGCUCAGGCAAGCCCCUCGUGCUUGGUUUGAGCGGUUUAGUUCGGUAGUUCAGGCUGCUGGUUUUUCUCCUAGUGAGCAUGAUCCUGCACUUUUCGUUCAUACUUCAAAACAUGGUCAUACUUUGCUUCUCCUUUAUGUGGAUGAUAUGCUAAUCACCGGGGAUGAUCAGAAGUACAUUGCUUUUGUUAAGAGAAAACUUAGCAAGCAAUUCAAGAUGUCAGAUUUAGGGUCUCUCAGUUACUUUCUAGGAAUUGGGGUUGACCAUACCGAGGAGGGUUACUAUCUCUCUCAGCAUCGCUACACUCAAGAUUUGAUUUCCCGCUCAGCUCUUUCUGAUACGCGCACUGCUGCUACCCCAAUGGAGCUCCACUUGCAGUUGUGUCCUAGUGAUGGAAUUCUCCUUGAGGAUCCUUCUCGCUACUGUCAUCUUGUGGGCAGCCUUGUCUAUCUCACUGUGACAAGACCUGACAUUACGCAUGCUGUGCACAUUUUGAGUAAGUUUCUGAGUGCUCCUACCUCAGUUCAUUACAGCCACUUACUUCGCGUGCUUCGAUACUUGAGGGGGACAUCUUCUCGUCAGCUGUUCUAUGCUUCCUCCAACCAGCUCCAGCUGCAUGCCUACUCUGACUCCACUUGGGCGAGUGAUCCUGUUGAUCGUCACUCUGUCACCGGCUAUUGUCUCUUUCUUGGCACUUCUCUCAUUGCAUGGAAGUCUAAGAAACAGACUGCAGUGUCCCGUUCCAGUGCUGAGGCUGAACUUCGAGCCAUAGCCACUACCACAUCAGAGAUUGUUUGGCUUCGAUGGCUCCUGGCUGAUCUUGGUGUGUCUUGUGAUGCACCCACCUCGCUCAUUUGUGAUAGUAUCGCUGCUAUUCAGAUUGCCAAUGAUCCAGUUAAGCAUGAGCUAACCAAGCAUAUUGGCGUGGAUGCAUCGUUCUCACUGCCAACAGUCAACUAUUUUUCUCCAAUAUGUUUCCAUCGGAGCUUCAAGUGGCAGAUUUCUUCACCAAGGUUCAGACUAGAGAACAACAUAGACAUCAUGUUCUCAAAC
RNAcentral lists this ribosomal RNA (1170 nucleotides) under Triticum aestivum (bread wheat). RNAcentral describes it as "partial small subunit ribosomal RNA". The record is from RNAcentral. Lineage: Eukaryota; Viridiplantae; Streptophyta; Magnoliopsida; Poales; Poaceae.